Molecule: long non-coding RNA, 365 nt
Organism: Motacilla alba alba
Lineage: Eukaryota; Metazoa; Chordata; Aves; Passeriformes; Motacillidae
Exons: 3
Source: RefSeq, a predicted model, not a curated record
CAGGUCUUCAUUGCACUGGAAGAGGAGGCUGUAGUGUGAGAUGAAAACCCGGAGGCGCUGCACGCACACCAGCAGCAGGUGCCAGUCAGCCACGGCAACCUCCAGGACACAGAACAAGUGGAUUGGCAGGAGAGUCCUAUCAUGGGCAGGCAUAACAGGAAGAGAUCCAGGCUUGCAUGUUGCCAUUACGUGCUGGGAAGCAGGAAGGAAGUUUACCUCCUUCAGGAUCACCACGUGAAUCAGAGAGAUGCAUUCUGGCAGAUCCCUCAGGGCAUACUCUCCAUGCUGGAUGCGUGACAGCUCCUGCAUUGCUUCUGUGAAACCCGCCUUCAGCUCAGAGGCUAAUGCCUGCAACUACAGCAACC